This 465-nucleotide ribosomal RNA is filed under the name Vreelandella stevensii. Its description in RNAcentral is "partial 16S ribosomal RNA". It matches the Rfam family "Bacterial small subunit ribosomal RNA", at positions 338 to 795 of the family's 1533-position model. The record is from RNAcentral. Lineage: Bacteria; Pseudomonadati; Pseudomonadota; Gammaproteobacteria; Oceanospirillales; Halomonadaceae.
CCUACGGGUGGCUGCAGUGGGGAAUAUUGGACAAUGGGGGCAACCCUGAUCCAGCCAUGCCGCGUGUGUGAAGAAGGCCCUCGGGUUGUAAAGCACUUUCAGUGAGGAAGAACGCCUGGUGGUUAAUAGCCAUCAGGAAAGACAUCACUCACAGAAGAAGCACCGGCUAACUCCGUGCCAGCAGCCGCGGUAAUACGGAGGGUGCGAGCGUUAAUCGGAAUUACUGGGCGUAAAGCGCGCGUAGGUGGCUUGAUAAGCCGGUUGUGAAAGCCCCGGGCUCAACCUGGGAACGGCAUCCGGAACUGUCAAGCUAGAGUGCAGGAGAGGAAGGUAGAAUUCCCGGUGUAGCGGUGAAAUGCGUAGAGAUCGGGAGGAAUACCAGUGGCGAAGGCGGCCUUCUGGACUGACACUGACACUGAGGUGCGAAAGCGUGGGUAGCAAACAGGAUUAGAUACCCUUGUAGUC